UGAGGAAUAUUGCACAAUGGGCGCAAGCCUGAUGCAGCAACGCCGCGUGAGGGACGAAGGCCUUCGGGUCGUAAACCUCUUUUCUGGGGGACGAGUAAGGACGGUACCCCAGGAAUAAGUCUCGGCUAACUACGUGCCAGCAGCCGCGGCAAAACGUAGGAGGCGAGCGUUAUCCGGAUUUACUGGGCGUAAAGAGUACGCAGGUGGCUUCGUUAGUCGGACAUGAAAGCUCCUGGCUUAACUGGGAGAAGUUGUUCGAUACUGCGGGGCUUGAGGUUGGGAGAGGGACGUGGAAUUCCCGGUGUAGUGGUGGAAUGCGUAGAUAUCGGGAGGAACACCAGUGGCGCAAGCGGCGUCCUGGCCCACACCUGACGCUGAGGUACGAAAGCGUGGGUAGCAAACAG
This 404-nucleotide ribosomal RNA is filed under the name uncultured bacterium. RNAcentral's name for it is "bacterial SSU rRNA". It matches the Rfam family "Bacterial small subunit ribosomal RNA", at positions 355 to 775 of the family's 1533-position model. The record is from RNAcentral.